GUAUCCUCCUCGUCCUCACCAUGACUUUUCCAUCCCGUGUAACCAGGCUUGAAACUAUUUUUCAACAAGUGCAUCUUCACAUGACCAGUGGACGGGUCAAUCAAAACUCCGUUUUUGUACUUCUUACAUGGACAUAAUAUCUCUUUUUUGCCUCUGCGAUUCAUAUCUUCCAACACCACCUCAAAGAACUCAUUUAUAGUUAGAUCCAUAUAAAUAUAUAUGUAAGAAUCUUUUCAUACCAUUUCCUACAAAAAAGGACUUUCAACACCACAAUAUAUAUAUACACCUUUUGUUAAAAAGUGAAAAUGGAAAAUUGAACAUAUGUUACCUAGAUUAGAUCGAUAUAGAUGAUAUCGCGGUCGAGGGCAGCACACGGUCGGGUGUAUUACUUAGGAUAUGCAAAGAGAAACAAGAAGGAUAAUGUUCACACAGCAGUAUGAGCUAGCUAGAUACGCACAGCUGCAAUCAAUCUAUAUAUAUAGAGAGAUGUAUAUACCUAUGGCGUGCUACCAUUUGAGAUGCCAGCACAAUAUCUAUUAACUGAUAUUGGGCCCCACUUAAACACUAAUGGUGUGGCCACAAAGUCCCACGACACAAGUAUCAGAC
This 606-nucleotide long non-coding RNA is filed under the name Triticum aestivum (bread wheat). RNAcentral describes it as "long non-coding RNA (TAES_LNC001527)". The record is from RNAcentral. Lineage: Eukaryota; Viridiplantae; Streptophyta; Magnoliopsida; Poales; Poaceae.